This 468-nucleotide ribosomal RNA is filed under the name uncultured bacterium. RNAcentral's name for it is "partial 16S ribosomal RNA". It matches the Rfam family "Bacterial small subunit ribosomal RNA", at positions 28 to 507 of the family's 1533-position model. The record is from RNAcentral.
GACGAACGCUGGCGGCGUGCUUAACACAUGCAAGUCGAACGGAAAGGCCCUGCUUUUGUGGGGUGCUCGAGUGGCGAACGGGUGAGUAACACGUGAGUAACCUGCCCCUGACUUUGGGGGAUCUUCAGGAAACUGGGGCUAAUACCGGAUAGGAGCUCUUGCUGCAUGGUGGGGGUUGGUAAGUUUCGGUGGUUGGGGAUGGACUCGCGGCUUAUCAGCUUGAUGGGGGGGUAGUGGCUUACCAAGGCUUUGACGGGUAGCCGGCCUGGGCGGGUGACCGGCCCCAUUGGGCCUGAGCUACGGCCCAGACUCCUACGGGAGGCAGCAGUGGAGAAUAUAACACAAUGGGAGGAAGCCUGAUGUAGCAACGCCGCGUGCGGGAUGACGGCCUUCGGGUUGUAAACCGCUUUCGCCUUUGACGAAGCGUGAGUGACGGUAAUGGGUAAAGAAGCACCGGCUAACUACGUG